CUACUACUCCCUCCGUCCGAAAAUACUUGUCCUACAAAGGAAUAAAAUUGAUGUAUCUAUAACUAAAAUAAGUCUAGAUACAACCAUUUCUAGGACAAGUAUUUUCGGACGGAGGGAGUAUUAA
Molecule: non-coding RNA, 124 nt
Organism: Triticum aestivum (bread wheat)
Lineage: Eukaryota; Viridiplantae; Streptophyta; Magnoliopsida; Poales; Poaceae
Source: Rfam